RNAcentral lists this transfer RNA (17 nucleotides) under Calathus glabricollis. Its description in RNAcentral is "partial tRNA-Leu". Lineage: Eukaryota; Metazoa; Arthropoda; Insecta; Coleoptera; Carabidae. The record is from RNAcentral.
UAUGGCAGAUUAGUGCA